AACGAACGCUGGCGGCGUGCUUAACACAUGCAAGUCGAACGCGAACGGGUUCUUCGGAACCUCAGUAGAGUGGCGCACGGGUGAGUAACGCGUAAGUAAUCUACCCUCGCAUUCGGGAUAACCCACCGAAAGGUGUGCUAAUACCGGAUACGUCUAUUUUAAUUCAUUUUUUAUAGAGAAAGGUGGCCUCUGAUUCAAGCUACUGUGCGGGGAUGAGCUUGCGUACCAUUAGCUAGUUGGUAGGGUAACGGCCUACCAAGGCGAUGAUGGUUAGCGGGUCUGAGAGGAUGAUCCGCCACACUGGAACUGGAACACGGACCAGACUCCUACGGGAGGCAGCAGUGAGGAAUAUUGCGCAAUGGGGGAAACCCUGACGCAGCGACGCCGCGUGGAUGAUGAAGGCCUUCGGGUUGUAAAAU
RNAcentral lists this ribosomal RNA (419 nucleotides) under uncultured bacterium. RNAcentral's name for it is "bacterial SSU rRNA". It matches the Rfam family "Bacterial small subunit ribosomal RNA", at positions 29 to 431 of the family's 1533-position model. The record is from RNAcentral.